Molecule: ribosomal RNA, 1005 nt
Filed under: human metagenome
Description: bacterial LSU rRNA
Rfam family: Bacterial large subunit ribosomal RNA
Source: RNAcentral
GUAAACGGCGGCCGUAACUAUAACGGUCCUAAGGUAGCGAAAUUCCUUGUCGGGUAAGUUCCGACCCGCACGAAUGGUGUAACGAUCUGGGCACUGUCUCAACUACCCACCCGGCGAAAUUGUAGUACCGGUGAAGAUGCCGGUUACCUGCGGCAAGACGGAAAGACCCCAUGGAGCUUUACUGUAGCCUGAUAUUGGGUUUCGGAAAUCUAUGUACAGGAUAGGCGGGAGACUGGGAAACAUGAGCGUCAGCUUGUGUGGAGUCGAUGUUGGGAUACCGCCCUUAGGUUUCUGGAAUUCUAACCUGCGGCCGUGAAUCCGGUCGGGGGACAUUGUCAGGUGGGCAGUUUGACUGGGGCGGUCGCCUCCGAAAAGGUAACGGAGGCGCUCAAAGGUUAGCUCAGCACGGACGGAAACCGUGCCUCUGAGUGUAAACGCAAAAGCUAGCCUAACUGCGAGGGUGACGGCCCGAGCAGUAACGAAAGUUGGAGUUAGUGAUCCGGCGGUAUGUGAAUGGAAAUGCCGUCGCUCAACGGAUAAAAGCUACCCUGGGGAUAACAGGCUGAUCUCCCCCAAGAGUCCACAUCGACGGGGAGGUUUGGCACCUCGAUGUCGGCUCAUCACAUCCUGGGGCUGUAUUCGGUCCCAAGGGUUCGGCUGUUCGCCGAUUAAAGUGGUACGCGAGCUGGGUUCAGAACGUCGCGAGACAGUUCGGUCCCUAUCUGUCGUGGGCGCAGGAUAUUUGAGGAGCUCUGUCCUUAGUACGAGAGGACCGGGAUGGACGUACCUCUGGUGCACCAGUUGUCAUGCCAAUGGCACGGCUGGGCAGCUAUGUACGGAACGGAUAAACGCUGAAAGCAUCUAAGCGUGAAGCCGACUCCAAGAUUAGAUAUCCCAUCGUAUAACGAGUAAGACCCCUUGAAGACUACGAGGUUGAUAGGCUGCGUGUGUAAGUGCCGUGAGGCAUUCAGCUUGGCAGUACUAAUAGGUCGAGGGCUUGACCAC